ACCAGACUUGGACCCGGUGAAUCAUCCAGCGUUCUCGCUGGUGCACUUUGCCGGGCUCAGGCCAGCAUCGGUUCAGGUGGCGGGAUAAAGGCCUUGGGAAUGUAGCUUCUUUCGGGGAGUGUUAUAGCCCUCGGUGCAAUGCCGCCUACCUAGACCGAGGACCGCGCUUCGGCUAGGAUGCUGGCGUAAUGGUUGUAAGCGA
This 202-nucleotide ribosomal RNA is filed under the name Hyaloscyphaceae sp. RNAcentral's name for it is "partial large subunit ribosomal RNA". Lineage: Eukaryota; Fungi; Ascomycota; Leotiomycetes; Helotiales; Hyaloscyphaceae. The record is from RNAcentral.